CUCCUUCAAAGAGAUCAUAUCAACACUCCCAAGAAGAAAAAGCUGGUAUGGCGAUGAUACUUUUUUGUAUCAAGGCUUUUGGUGUGACACAUUUUUUAUUGAAGGAUUAAUGAGAGCUCAACAAAGUUUUCGAUCUCAACCUUCUGAUAUCGUCAUAUGCAGUGCUAUGAAAACCGGAACAACAUGGUUAAAGUCCCUCACUUUUGCCAUUGUAACAAGAUCCACCUUCGAUGAUUCCACUAACCCUUUAUUUAACAAUCUAUCACAUGAUUGUGUACCCCUUUUAGAGGUUGAUUUAGCCCAAUCUUCCACCAAUCGAGACCCUAAAAAUCCUUUGUUAGCCACACAUACCCCUUACUCUUCUUUACCAAGAUCAAUAAUUGAUUCUAGUUGUAAAAUUGUUUACAUUUGUAGGGACCCUAAGGAUUCAUUAGUUUCGCUUUAUCACUUCUUUGCUAGGUACUUGGCAUCUAAAGACAUGAAACCUCCCGCUUUAGAAGAGGCCUUUGAGCUUUUUUGCCAAGGUGUAAGCUCUUACGGACCUUAUUGGGACCAUGUUCUAGGGUUUUGGAAAGCAAGUUUGGACCGACCUGAUAAGAUUCUUUUCUUGAAAUACGAAGAAAUGAUAGAAGAUACUAUUUUAUACGUUAAGAAAAUAGCUGAUUUCAUCGGUUAUCCUUUCUCUUUUGAAGAACUUGAAAAAGGAUCAGUCGAAAAAAUCGUAGACAUGUGUAGUUUCGAGAAUUUAAGCAAUUUGGAAGUGAAUAAAAGAGGAAAACACCGUGAGGGAACUCCAGCGGUGAUUGAAAACAAGAUGUAUUUCCGAAAAGGUAAGGUUGGGGAUUGGGAGAAUUAUUUGACACCUGAAAUGGCUGCUCGGUUGGACUCGAUAACGUUGCAGAAGCUAAAUGGUUCUGGCUUAACUCUAUGAUUGAAUAAUAAAGCAGCCAUGGGGUACAUUUUGCCUUCUCUGCAAUUUCGACAUAUUAUGUUUCUAAAAAUAAAUUGUGUAUGCUUUUUGCAAGUAGCAACACUUCUCGUGUUGUUCAUGUUAAGAUCAAUUAAAAGUAUAGUUGGUUCAAUCAAUAAAAUUUGAUAUAAGCUGAUUUGAUUUUGUUAGUUUAAUUUUUAUGGAUAAACUACACCAACUCUCCUAAGCUUUGUAUAAAAUUACAUUUCAGUUAUCCAACUUUCAAAAUUUAUAUCAUAGUCACUAACAUUAUCAAAUUGUUACAUUUUUGUCACUCGACUGUUAACUUUAAAGAAGUAACGUUGCACAUUAAUUCAAAAGGUUAAUAGCUAAUUUGGUCCCUGAACUAUAGUUAAAAAAUUAUUUUCACAUUUAAAUUUUUUACAAUAAUUUUAAAAAAGUAAAAAAAAAAGUCUUAAAAAUAAAAUUCAUAUAAAAAACCAGUUGCAGCGAGAAACAACUAAGAAUUUUGCUACCGUCUUUGCUCUUUUUUUCUUUUUUUUUUUCCUCUCUUUUUUCAUGUAGACCGAUGUUGGCUCUUCUCUUCCCAAAUCUUUAAAAAUAAUAUAUAGGUUUUAUUUAUAGCUAAAAGAAAAAUAUUGACUUGAAAAGGUCGGUUUGGAGAAGAAGAAUAGCACUUUGUAUUAUAAAUUUAAAAACAAAACCCAAUCAGUGUAACACCCCAAACCCAACCUAGACGUUGUGACCGAAUCUUAAAAGUUACAUUAACUUCUUGAGAAUUUAGAUUGUUAUUUUCUGAAAUUUCGACUUGUUUUUCUGUAAAAGUAAAUUCUUAGUAAAAAAACUCGUUUUCACUUAUUAGUUGCAAAAAAAAAAAAAAACACCAUUCUACAAUAACGGUUUCUUUAAAACAUUUGUUCUUUACUCGUAAAUUGAAAUAAUAGAAAUACUGUGAACAUGCUUAUUUUUCAGAAAACUAGAUUUCUCAUUUUGUUUUGCAGCGGAAAAACUUUAACUUGUUUAAUUUUGAAAAUCGAACAUUUUUUUUAAUUAACAGAAAUCAUGUAGAAAAUUUAAACUAAUUAACUAAAAACUCAACAAAACCCAAAUCCAAAAAAAAGUUCAAAAAUUAGUUCUACAGUAAAAAGCAUAGUUGAUUGAAUAUGUGAAAUGUGAUUAAAAACAACAUGUAAAAGAAAAUGCGAAAUGAUUUAUAUGAGUCCGAAGGAUCGAUAUGAAAGUUAAAAAAAAUCAAUAGAUUUGAUAUAGAAAUGAUAUGAUUAAAUGAUAUGAUUAAAUGAUAUUUUUUUUAUAGUGGAAAAAGUAGCAUGGUAUGUUAUAAUGAUUUGCCGAUUUGCAUAAUGUAUGUGUCGAAACAAUUUUUUUUAUAAAACGGGAUCGAUUUUAAUUUUGAAAAUGAAAACGAACAUGGGAGUUGCCACCAAUCCUUUUUAUUUAGGUGUGAUCGGAUCACUUUAUAAUUUAAUCAUUUUAAUAAAAGUUUUAAAUUUACUAAAACGAUAAUUUUUGGUCUACAAAAUCCAGAAAAUGGGUUCGGGAGUCAAUUACGCACGAGGAAGGGUUAGCACGCUCGUAACGCCCAGAAAUUGGUACCUAGUUGAUUAAUUAGUGUCUUAGUGUUGAGGAUUGAAAACUUUGAAGAGUUUUAAAAAUACGAUCCUUAAGAAAAACUCGAAUAACAUGGGUUAGAAUUUAGGAUUCUCUUGUUCUGAAGGAAUAUCACAUCCAGCACGUUAGGAUACAAUACUUUAAACCCUCGAAACCAAGAUUACCUUAUGGUUUCCAAAACCCAUAUUUUUGAAAUUUUAAGAGGAUAUUUGGCUAUUUUGUCGAACGAGAAAUUGAAACCCAACACGUUAGGGCACGUUUUCUCGAAUUUCCAAACGUAAAAUAUUGCCUUAUUUUAAAACCCUUUUUUUUUGAAUAAUAGCGAGUACAACACUUGAACGACAUACAUUUGUUUUAUUUAUGAUAAAACAUAAAAGUUUAUUAUAGGUAUAUACAAAUCGAGCGCAACUUUUGAAGUGAUGAAAUGGAAUGAUAAUGGGCCAUAAAAUAACAACUAACGAAUAAAAUGAUACAUUAAUGCAUGACAAGUAUACGAAAACACGAAUAAAUGAAGCAUAGUUCCCACAAUUACAAUAAGCACAGAACAUAUAACAUUUUAAUACCAACAUUAAUAAAGAAAUAAUAUAUGAAAUAAUUUGAAGUAAAUAACAAUAUAAAAUAAGUGAUUUAUAAGAACAAUAAAUAAUAAGGGUUUCAAAUAAACAAUCAAUAGGAAUCUUAAAAUAAAUAAUAACAAAACAGUUUAAAAUAAAUAAAUAAGGUAUGGAACAGUUUUAAAGAAUAUAUGAAAAUUUGAAAGGCAUAUAUAUAUAUACAAUUGAUAAUAUAAAUAUUAUGUAAAACCGUUUAAAACAAAUAAUGUAUGGAACUUAAAAUUAAUAAUGCUAACGAGCCUUCUUUUUUUUAAAAGAAUGAAUAAAAUAAAUUAAAUGGGCCUAGGACGAAAUUGAAUUCGAAUUAAAGAGUCAGGUCUAAAUUAAAAAAAAAGGCCGCCGAGGAUCAAAAUAAGACGCGCCCGAAGAACGAGGGACUUAUUGGGAAAAUAUUCCCUUCCCUCAUGCGCAACGUUCAACACGGACCAGAUUGGAACGAACGGAAAAUCAUGCGGCCCAAAUAAAAAGACAACAUGGAUUAGAUUGCACCACAGCGCAAAAGCGGAGGGACCCCUCACAUAAAUAGACCGUCCAAGCUAGAGGUGCUCAUGGGUUGGGCCGGGCCGGGUUCGGGCCGGGCCAUAAAAAAUUUUGUCCCGGGUCCUACGCCUGGGCUUGGCCCGAAAUAUGGGCCUGAAAUUUUGCCCAUGCCCGGCCCGGGAAAAAUCAUAAUCCCGGGCCCGGCCCAUUUUUUAAUAAAUACCAAAAAAUUAUUUUAAAAAUUAAAAAAAGUAUUUUAAAAAUAUUUUAAAAAUAUUUUAAAAUUAAAUUAAAAAAUUUUAAAAAGUAUUUUAAAAAUAUUUUAAAAUUAAAAAAGUAUUUUAAAAUUUAAAAAAUAAAUAUAUUUAUUAUAUCGGCCCGGCCCGGCCAAAAAAGUUAUGCUCGUUUUUUUGCCCAAGCCCAUAUUUCGGGCCUAUAUUUUUACCCAAACCCUCCCAUACUUCGGGCGGGCCGUCGGGCCGGGCCAGGCCGCCCGGCCCAUGAGCACCUCUAGGCCAAGCAAAACACACGGAUCCUGCUACUGGGUCGGGUCGCGCGCGCGAGUUAAGGGCCAAAACGACGUCGUUUUGGCAACUGAACCCUAACUUAGAAAAUGGCGCCGUUUAAUAACCUUAUUUAAAUCAUUUUUUUAAAAAAAUUCAUUUUUUCAGUGUUUAGAGAAAAAAAAAACUUCAAAACCUCCCAUAUGUCUCUCUCAACCCCACUUGGCCAGCGUGGGUUCCCUCGGAGGAUCUGCCGCACCGCCAUCUGCAACUCUCGACUCAACAAUGUUUGUAUAGUUCCUUUACGUUUUGAUAUAUGACAUGUACUUAAGUUUUGUAUCUUGGAUGGUCAUUUGGAAAAUUGGAUAGUUGAUGUCAAUUUGAAUUUAUGAAUAUGAAAUGUUUAAGUUAUCAUGAACAUUAUGUGAUGUUUAAAUGGUUAAGUGGUGUAAACGAUCAUAUGUAUUAAGUUAGAUUUGAGUUAUGAAUGGUUAAAUUGAUAAACAUGAAUGAUAAUGACAUAGCAAAGGUAGUAUAUGAAGUGUUGAUGUAGGUAUUAUGCUUGAACGGAUUGGUUUCGCAUUGGUUAUUUUGGUUAGGUUAGUAUGGAUUGGUUCCAUAUAAACAUUUCAAAACAGUAUGUCAUGUUGUAACAAGAAAUCGAUAGUGAAUGAUGUCGCGACUUGGAAUCUCCCAAGUUGUGACGUCAACUCGAUAGUUUUAACAUUUUAUAUUUUAGUCCUUAAACGACCUUAGGUUAUCGAAAAAGCUUUCGUAUGCUCGUAUAAACCUUGAAUAUGUUUGUAUAAUAUGAUAUAAUGAUGUAUUGAUCAUAAUUACAUGUAUCAACUGUUGAAUUGAUAAAAUUUAGAUCGUAGUUGUUCCAACAACGAAUGUGACAUCCCAUAACUUGGACCUGAGAUCAAGUUGGUAUGGGGUUUACAAGAAAGGUGGGUUUCGAGAAGAAGAAUAGCACUUUGUAUUAUAAAUUUAAAAACAAAAACUCAAUCAGUUUAGUAAAUGGAGUUAGAGAAGAAAUAAUGGGUUUAGAAAAGAAGUAGAGUACUUUGUGUUAUAAAUUAAAAGAAAAAAAAAUCAAAAAUUUCAAAAAAUUGAAACUUACCAAAGAGUCCAAAUAAAUAUAAUAUAAUAAAACAUUUUGCUUUUCUCUCUUGCUCGAUAGGCCGUUGAUGAUAGAAAUUUUUAUGAUUCUCAAGAAUGAAAGCACUGUUACCCAAGCCCUGAUUUUGUUUCCUGGAAAUUCGAGCAGCAACAAUCGGUCUAAUAAUUAUAACUAGUUAGACUUUUCUAGUUAAUAAAAGACUAUUACGUACCAAUUUUAUAAACUACUAACAAUAUAUAUUUGACAGUUAAAAGUUUUAUUUUACAUAAAACGAAUAUUUAGAAAAUUUUAAUUUAUAUCAAUCUUGACAUACAUGAUCUAUAUGAAUGGAGUAUGAAAUAGGACGGUGAGAUUGUUAAAAUAAAAAUUGUAUAAAAAGUUACUAAAUUAUGCAAAACCACUUUAAUUUUACACCCGUGUAAGUGAAUCUCUCCUCUUAUUUUAUUUUUUAAGUAUUAUAUUAAUAAUUUUUAUCUUACAUGUUUUAUUUAUGUUUUCUGGGUACAUGUUUUAUCUUAAGAUUUGUAUAAUUCUUUACACAAUUAUAAUUCAUUUUACAUAGUUAUAUAAAAUCAUUAAUUUUACAUAAAUUUUGAUAUAUUAUUAUAUUUUGGUUUAGGUUUAUUUCUAUGUGACAUGAUAAUUUUAAUUAUUUAAUUUUUUUUAUCUUCGAAUAAUUUUGUCAAAUAAUUUAAUAAUUGAAUCAUUAUAUAUAGUGUACAAAUCAUAAUAAAAAAUUAAUCUAACUUUACGAAGCAUAAUGAGCAGGUAUAUUCUAGUGAUAUAUUAAAUAUAUUAUAUAACUCUUUUACAUACUUUUUUUACCUUCAAAAAGUCAAAAUCUUGAUCAUUUUAGUCUCUUUUUUUUUAUUAUUAUCAUUUUAGUUUUGAAUCAUCAAAUUUCAAUUAAAUUACCUUUUUUUUUGGACGUAAAAGGUUCACCUAACAAGUAAACUUUUAAACGUGAUAGCCUGUAUAGUAGUGCAUGUGUAUUUUAUUGUUGACGUGGAUGAUUAUUUUCAAAACUUUUAUGAACUUUUUGAAUUUUUAUUUUUAUUUAAUUUAUGAAGUAAGCGCGGACUUUCAUGUGUGUCACCAUGUCACUUCCGUUAAAAUUUUAAUAGUUCAAUUAAUUUUUCCGUUUAAAGAAAAACAAUUUAACAAAAAUUUGAAAAUUUAAAACAAACCGAUCCAAAAAAGUAUCAAGACAAAUGCAUUUAAGAAAAGAGAAAUUAUUUGGUAUACUGCCAGUAGAGCUUUUAUACUCUACAAGCAAAAUCAGGAGUUAAUAAGUAUCCUAUAGAAAAUACCAAUUUUUUAAGAUUACUUAUAAAAAAAAAAAUACACUUCACAGUUCACCCCAAUUAUUGUUAACAAAACCUGAUUCCAAAUCUUUUAAAAUAAUACAAAAAAAUCUAUCAACUAGAUUGUUUAGUGACAAAAUCUUGCAUGGGACAGACCUUGACAAUGGGUAAAUAAGCACUAGCUACAUUUUUUAUUUAUUUAGUCCCUAUAAUUCUAUUUCAAUUCAAGAAAUUACGUGGUGGAUAUAAUAAAAAAUUGUUAUUAAAAGCAAAUAAUUUUCGUCACUAAGUUCACAUGGUUCAAUUACAAAAAAAUUAUUGUGUAAUUGUGAAAGAAAUUACCUUUUCUCUAAAGCUAUUUAUAGACCCAAUUUUUGUCAAAAUAUUUGCACUCAUUUCCCCCUUCUUUUUCCUUUAUGAAAAUGGCCUCCUUCAAAGAGAUUAUAUCAACUCUCCCAAGAAGAAAAAGUUGGAAUGACUCAAAUAACGACUUUUUUUUGUAUCGAGGCUUCUGGUGUUACUCAUUUUUCAUUGAAGGAGUGAUGUCGGCUCAACAAAAUUUCCAAUCUCAACCUUCCGAUAUCGUCAUAUGCAGUGCACCGAAAACUGGAACAACAUGGUUAAAGUCCCUCACUUUUGCCAUUGUCACAAGAACCACCUUCGAUGAUUCCACUAACCCUUUACUUGCCAAUCUAUCACAUGAUUGUGUACCCUUUUUAGAGGUUGAUUUAGCCCAAUCUUCUACCAAUCGAGACCCUAAAAAUCCUUUGUUAGCCACACAUGUCCCUUACUCUUCUUUACCAAGAUCAAUAAUUGAUUCCAGUUGUAAAAUUGUUUACAUUUGUAGGGACCCUAAGGAUUCAUUCGUUUCGUUUUAUCACUUCAUUGCUAGGCGCUUGGCAUCCAAAGACAUAAAGCCCCUUGCUUUAGAAGAGGCCUUUGAGCUUUAUUGCCAAGGUGUAAGCAAUUAUGGACCUUAUUGGGACCAUGUUCUAGGGUUUUGGAAAGCAAGUUUGGACCGACCUGAUAAGAUUCUUUUCUUGAAAUACGAAGAAAUGAUAGAAGAUAUUGUUUUUUACGUUAAGAAAUUAGCUGAUUUCAUCAGUUAUCCUUUCUCUUCUGAAGAAAUCAAAAAAGGGUCAGUCGACAAGAUCAUAAGCAUGUGUAGUUUUGAGAACUUAAGCAAAUUGGAAGUGAAUAAAAGUGGCAAACACCGUGAAGGAACUCCAGGGGUGAUUGAAAACAAGAUCUAUUUCCGAAAAGGUAAGGUUGGGGAUUGGGAGAAUUAUUUGACACCUGAAAUGGCUUCUCGGUUGGACUCGAUAACGUUACAGAAGCUAAAUGGUUCAGGCUUAACUCUGUGAUUGAAUCAUAAAGCAGCCAUGGGGUACAUUGUCCCUUCUCUGCAAUUUCGACAUAUUAUGUUUCUAAAAUAAUUUGUGUAUGCUUUUUGCAAGUAGCAACACUUCUCGUGUUGUUCAUGUUAACAUCAAUAAAAAGCAUAGUUGAUUCAAUAUGUGAAAUGUGAUUAAAAACAACAUGUAAAACACAAUGCAAAUUGGUUUAUAUGAGUUCGGAGGACCAAUAUAAAAAUAAAAAAAAUUAAUAGAUUCGAUAUAUAAAUGAUAUGAUUAAAUUAUAUGAAUUGAAAUGAAAAUGAUUGUAUUUUUUUAUAGUGGAAAAAGUAGCAUGGCACGUCAUAAUGAUUUGCCGGUUUUCAUAAUGUAUGAAUCGAGAUAUAUGACAUGAAGAGAUGAAAUUCAAACGUUUGAAUCUUGAACAUGUUUUCAUUACAUUUUUGUCAAAUUAAUGUUUAUGUUGGUAUGACUUGAUCAUAAAGGUACUGAUGAUCUUUAUUGUUCAAUGUACACUUUGUUUAUUCCAUGUGAGGUAUUAGUUAAUUUCGAAGACUCGAGGAGUGAUCCAACAUCCGGUCUGCAACUCUCGACUCAACAAUGUUUGUAUAGUUCCUUUACGUUUUGAUAUAUGACAUGUACUUAAGUUUUGAGUUAGUUUUGUAUCUUGGAUGGUCAUUUGGAAAAUUGGAUUGUUGAUGUGAAUUUGAGUUUAUGAAUAUGAAAUGUUUAAGUUAUCAUGAACAUUAUAUGAUGUUUAAAUGGUUAAGUGGUGUAAAUGGUCAUAUGUAUUAAGUUAGGUUUGAGUUAUGAAUGGUUAAAUUGAUAAACAUGAAUGAUAAUGACAUAGCAAAGGUAGUAUAUGAAGUGUUUGAUGUAGGUAUUAUGCUUGAAUGGAUUGGUUUCGCAUUGGUUAUUUUGGUUAGGUUAGUAUGGAUUGGUACCAAAUAAGCAUUUCAAAACAGUAUGUCAUGUUGUAACAAGAAAUCGAUAGUGAAUGAUGUCGCGACUUGGAAUCUCCCAAGUCGUGACGUCAACUCGAUAGUUUUAACAUUUUAUAUUUUAGUCCUUAAACGACCUUAGGUUAUCGAAAGAGCUUUCGUAUGCUCGUAUAAACCUUGGAUAUGUUUGUAUAAUAUGAUAUAAUGAUGUAUUGAUCAUAAUUACAUGUAUAAACUGUUGAAUUGAUAAAAUUUAGAUCAUAGUUGUUCUAACAACGAAUGUGACAUCCCAUAGCUUUGACCUGUGAUCAAGUUGGGUAUGGGGUGUUACUAGAAAGGUGGGUUUGGAGAAGAAGAAUAGCAUUUGUAUUAUAAAUUUAAAAACAAAAACUCAAUCAGUAUAGUAAGUGGAGUUUGAGAAGAAAUAAUGGGUUUAGAAAAGAAGUAGAGUACUUUGUAUUAUAAAUUAGAAGAAAAAAAUCUAAAAUUUCAAAAAAUUGAAACUUACCAAAGAAUCCAAAUAAAUAUAAUAUAAUACAACAUUUUGCUCUUCUCUCUUGCUCGAUAGGCCGUUGAUGGUAGAAGUUUUUAUGAUUCUCAAGAAUGAAAGCACUGUUACCCAAGCCCUGAUUUUGUUUCCUGGAAAUUCGAGCAGCAACCAUCGGUUUAAUAAUUAUAAUUAGUUAGACUUUUCUAGAUAAUAAAAUACUAUUACGUACCAAUUUUAUAAACUACUAACAAUAUAUAUUUGACAGUUAAAAGUUUUUUUUUACAUAAAACGAAUAUUUAGAAAAUUUUAAUUUAUGUCAAUCUUGACAUACAUGAUCUAUAUGAAUGGAGUAUGAAAUAUGACGGUGGGAUUGUUAAAAUAAAAAUUGUAUAAAAAGUUACUAAAUUAUGCAAAACCACUUUAAUUUUACACCGUGUAAGUGAAUCUCCCCUCUUAUUUUAUUUUUUAAGUAUUAUAUUAAUAACUUUUAUCUUAAAUAUUUUAUUUAUGUUUUUUGGGUACAUCUUUUAUCUUAAGAUUUGUAUAAUUCUUUACACAAUAAUAAUUCAUUUUAUAUAGUUAUAAAAAAAUCAUUAAUUUUACAUAAAUUUUGAUAUAUUAUUAUAUUUUGAAUUUAUGUUUAUUUCUAUGUGACAUGAUAAUUUUAAUUAUUGAAAUUUUUUAUCUUCGAAUAAUUUUGUCAAAUAAUUUAAUAAUUAAAUCAUUAUAUAUAGUGUACAAAUCAUAUUAAAAAAUUAAUCUAACUUUACGAAGCAUAAUGAGCAGGUAUAUUCUAGUGAUAUAUUAAAUAUAUUAUAUAAUUUACAUAUUUUUUUUACCUUCAAAAAGUCAAAUUCUUGAUCAUUUUAGUCUUUUUUUUAUCAUUUUAGUUUUGAAUCAUCAAAUUUCAAUUAAAUUACCUUUUUUUUACGUAAAAAUUGACCUAACAAUUAAAAUUUUAACGUCAUUAAUGUGGUAGCCUGUAUAGUAGUGUAUGUAUACUUUAUUGUUAACAUGGAUGAAUAUUUUCAAAACUUUUAUGAACUUUUUGAAUUUUUAUUUUUAUUUAAUUUAUGAAGUAAACGUGAAUUUUCAUGUGUGUCACCACGUCACUCCCGUUAAAAUUUUAAUAGUCCAAUUAAUUUUUCAGUUCAAAGAAAAACAAUUUAACAAAAAUUUGAAAAUUUAAAACAAAUCGAUCCAAAAAAGUAUUAAGACAAAUGCAUUUAAGAGAAGGGAAAUUAUUUGGUACAUUGUCGGUAAAGCUUUUAUACUUCACAAGCAGGAUCGGGGGUUAAUAAGUAUCUUAUAGAGAUAUUAUAAAAUAUCAAUUUUUAAAAUUACUUAUGAAAUAAAAAAAUACACUUCACCCCAAUUAGUGUGAAAAAAAAAUACAAAACUUGAUUCCAAAUCUUUUAAAAUAAUACAAAAAAAUCUAUCAACUAGAUUGUUUAGCGACAAAAUCAUGCAUGGGACAGACCUUGACAAUGGCUAAAUAAGCACUAGCUACAUUAUUUAUUUAUUUAGUCCCUAUAAUUCUGUUCCAAUUCAAGAAAUUACGUGGUGGAUAUAAUAAAAAAUUGUUGUUAAAAGCAAAUAAUUUUCGUCACUAAGUUCACAUGGUUCAAUUACAAAAAAAUUAUUGUGCAAUUGUGAAAGAAAUUACCUUUUCUCUGAAGCUAUUUAUAGACCCAAUUUUUGUCAAAAUAUUUGCACUCAUUUCCCCUUUCUUUUUCCUUUAUGAAAAUGGCCUCCUUCAAAGAGAUUAUAUCAACACUCCCAAGAAGAAAAGGCUGGAAUGACUCAGAUAACGACCUUUUUUUGUAUCGAAGCUUCUAUUAUUACUCGUUUUUCAUUGAAGGAGCGAUGUCGGCUCAACAAAAUUUCCAAUCUCAACCUUCCGAUAUCAUCAUAUGCAGUGCAUCGAAAACUAGAACAACAUGGUUAAAGUCCCUCACUUUCGCCAUUGUCACAAGAACCAUCUUCGAUGAUUCCACUAACCCUUUACUUACCAAUCUUGAUCAUUUUAGUCUCUUUUUUUUUUUAUCAUUUUAGUUUUGAAUCAUCAAAUUUCAAUUAAAUUACCUUUUUUUUUGGACGUAAAAGGUUGACCUAACAAGUAAACUUUUAAACGUGAUAGCCUGUAUAGUAGUGCAUGUGUAUUUUAUUGUUCACGUGGAUGAUUAUUUUCAAAAUUUUUAUGAACUUUUUAAAUUUUUAUUUUUAUUUAAUUUAUGAAGUAAGCGCGGACUUUCAUGUGUGUCACCAUGUCACUUCCGUUAAAAUUUUAAUAGUCCAAUUAAUUUUUCCGUUAAAAGAAAAACAAUUUAACAAAAAUUUGAAAAUUUAAAAUAAACCGAUCCAAAAAAGUAUUAAGACAAAUGCAUUUAAGAAAAGGGAAAUUAUUUGGUGCAUUGCCGGUAGAGCUUUUAUACUCCACAAGUAGAAUUAGGGGUUAAUAAGUAUCCUAUAGAGAAAUAGUAAAAUAUUAAUUUUUUAAGAUUACUUAUAAAAUAAAAAAAUACACUUCACCCCAAUUACUGUAAAAAAAAAUACAAAACUUGAUUCCAAAUCUUGCUCUUUAAAAAAAUUUUUGACUUCACCCCGAUGUGCUAAAAGUGUUUUAAUUAGAUCCUAGACUCAAUAGAUUACACUCGUUUAGUGGAGUUUUAUCGUUCAUGUUAUAUAAGUCAUUCUAAAAAAAAAAAAAAAACCCUAUAAAAAGGAUCAUCUUUAAGUCAUUCAAUACAACUUCAAAAGUGCAAAAAAUAUCAAAGUCUGAACAGAAGAUUUUGAUGACUAGAAGUUGUUUCUUAAAAUCCUAAAAAAUUGAAAAACUUAAAUAAAUUCCAAAGAAUGUCACAUCUUUUUGAUACAAUGGCUAAGACUACCCAUAGCCCCCCUCAACACUUAAACAGAGGGAUAAUAAGCUUUAGUACACUUGAAUUCAAGUUCUCCCAACCCAAAUAUAAAAAAUAAAACCCAAACCCAAAUUAAUAUUCUAUAAAUUUAUAGUCACAACUUUAUAUAAUUUAGUUAUAAUUUUAAUGUAUAUUAUAUACAUUAAAAACCUAAAUCCUGCCUCAUUUACCAAUUCCCAAAUCUGAAAUUCCUAUCCCAAAACCUAGCACCAUUUACACCGCCAUCAGCCCCUCCUCGACUGUCACCUACUACUGCAGGCCACACGACCACACCCGUCCAGCGUCCACCACCAGCAAGCAAUUGAAAGCAAAGUAGCAAGGAUAAUGCGGCCAUGGAAGGCAAGAAUUGAAGACAAAGAAGAGAAGGAAAGGAAAGCAAGCUUUAUCACGUAAUAGAAGGUUUGAAUGUUUAAAAGAGAUUUCUCAUGCAAGCUGGUUGGAUGAAUUAGGUUAAUCUCUAAUUUUUGGUUUAUUUGAAUCGAUUUAGUGCACACCUUAUUUUUUUUUUCACCUUAUUUUUUCUUUCAUGAUCUUAUUGAUUCGACCAUAAAUUUUGUUUAUGAUAUGUUUUUAAUGGAAUAAAAUUCUAAUCUAUUAGAUGUGAAUUGCUCUAAUCUAAGCACAAUUAUUGUACAAUUUUGUUAAAAAAAUGAAACUAUAAAUUUUGAAAUAAUUAUGAAUAAAUUAAUAUUAGUCUGUUGAUGUGAACAAUUAUUUUUAAAACUUUUUUAUUUUUUAAUUUUAAAAAGUACACACGUUCUUUUAUUUGAGUUAUCAUGUUACUUUCAUUAAAAUAGUACAAUUAAUUUUUGUGUAAAAUUUAAAAUACACUUCACCUUUAAAAAAUAAAAAAAUGCAUUGGACAGCACUAACUACAUUCAUUUAUUAAUUUAGUUCCUAUAACUCUACUCCAAUUCAAGAAAUCACGUGGUGGACAUAAUAAAAAACUGAUAUUAAAAGCAAAUAAUUCUCCACACUAAGAUCACAUGGUUGAAUUAAAAAAAGUUGAUUGCGUAAUUGUGAAAGAACUUACCUUUUCUCUCAAGCUAUUUAUAGAUCCAAUUUUUGUCAAAAUACUUGCACUCAUUUCUCCUUUCGUUUUUCCUUUAUCAAAAUGGCCUCCUUCAAAGAGAUCAUCUCAACACUCCCAAGAAGAAAAGGCUGGACUGACUCAAAUAACGACCUUUUUUUGUAUCGAGGCUUCUGGUGUUACUCGUUUUUCAUUGAAGGAGUGAUGUCGGCUCAACAAAAUUUUCAAUCUCAACCUUCCGAUAUCGUCAUAUGCAGUGCACCGAAAACUGGAACAACAUGGUUAAAGUCCCUCACUUUCGCCAUUGUCACAAGAACCACCUUCGAUGAUUCCACUAGCCCUUUACUUGCCAAUCUAUCACAUGAUUGUGUACCCUUUUUAGAGGUUGAUUUAGCCCAUUCUUCUACCAAUCGAGACCCUAAAAAUCCUUUGUUAGCCACACAUGUCCCUUACUCUUCUUUACCAAGAUCAAUAAUUGAUUCCAGUUGUAAAAUUGUCUACAUUUGUAGGAACCCUAAGGAUUCAUUCGUUUCGUUUUAUCACUUCAUUGCUAGGCUCUCGGCAUCCAAAGACAUGAAGCCCGUUGCUUUAGAAGAGGCCUUUGAGCUUUAUUGCCAAGGUGUAAGCAAUUAUGGACCUUAUUGGGACCAUGUUCUAGGGUUCUGGAAAGCAAGUUUGGACCGACCUGAUAAGAUUCUUUUCUUGAAAUACGAAGAAAUGAUAGAAGAUACUGUUUUAUACGUUAAGAAAUUAGCUGAUUUCAUCGGUUAUCCUUUCUCUUCUGAAGAAAUCAAAAAAGGGUCAGUCGACAAGAUCGUAAGCAUGUGUAGUUUUGAGAAAUUAAGCAAUUUGGAAGUGAAUAAAAGUGGCAAACAUCGUGAAGGAACUCCAGGGGUGAUUGAAAACAAGAUCUAUUUCCGAAAAGGUAAGGUUGGGGAUUGGGAGAAUUAUUUGACACCUGAAAUGGCUGCUCAGUUGGACUCGAUAACGUUACAGAAGCUAAAUGGUUCAGGCUUAACUCUGUGAUUGAAUCAUAAAGCAACCAUAGGGUACAUUGUCCCUUCUCUGCAAUUUCGACAUAUUGUGUUUCUAAAAAUAAUUU
Molecule: long non-coding RNA, 14423 nt
Filed under: Gossypium raimondii (Peruvian cotton)
Lineage: Eukaryota; Viridiplantae; Streptophyta; Magnoliopsida; Malvales; Malvaceae
Description: long non-coding RNA (GRAI_LNC001711)
Source: RNAcentral